Molecule: long non-coding RNA, 1677 nt
Organism: Equus asinus (donkey)
Lineage: Eukaryota; Metazoa; Chordata; Mammalia; Perissodactyla; Equidae
Source: Ensembl
GGGGGGGGCCCUGUCUGGGUACCUCUCCCUCAACUGGAGGGUGCGAUGGAAACUGGGAGCCCCCUGCUCUCUGGGGCUCUUGGGAAAGACAGAUUUUCUUUGGCAAAGGGAAGGGUGUUGCGCUGUCGACACGGCAGACUAUUUUUCUUGUUCCCUCACAAGGAGGUGGGGGAAGAAAAGAAAGCAAGAAAGAAAGGGAAAUUAAAUCCACACGUGUUAAGCUCGCUCAAAGGGCCGGAUUCAAAACCAGAGAAGAAACUGCAGCUCCAGUCCUGGCUGCCCGCGGGCCUCUUUCCAGCCAGCCCGGGCCUCACAGAGCCAGGCAUCCCCACUGGAGAGAAUUCGAUCUGAUGUUUCAUAAGGCGCUUUAUUUAAGGGGGAAGGGGCAAUGGUUCCUCUCUGUCUAUACCACCGAGUCUGAACUCUUAGCGGCAAAGAAAACAAAGGAGAUAGCAAUUGUGAGAAUAGUUACCCACUUUGAGAAAGCUCAGCUCAUACCUCCCAGCCACCCAAUGAUUCAGGUAACAUUCACCCUGUGGCCAAAAUGAGCCAGGCCAGUGAUUUUGGGAAUUCCUGGGGUCUGACCAGUCUUCCAGACUUGGGCCUACCCAGGUCAAGAGAAUCUGAAAAGCUAGUCUACUGACCCUGGAAUAGUCCACUUAAUCUGCCCGGCUAAACCCCACAUCCCUUGUUCCUCUUUCUGGGAGAAACCUGCCUGGGAGGAGGCCACAGGCCCCAGCUUCGGGAGGAACUCUGCGCAUGCAAGGAAGGGGGGCGGCCACCCCUCCUGGAGCUGCGAGUGAAAACUCUACCCGGGCCGUGAGCACCACAGCGGGUCUCCUCUGGCCUCCUGCUGCUGGGUUUCUGGCCUUUGGGGACGCGGCCUCGAUAGAAGGGUCCGGAAGCGGGGACCACAGAUGCCUUGCCCCCCAUCACAAUCCCUCCCGGAAAACACUGGGCUGAAACUGACAGAGGCUCGCCCUGGGGUGCAACGGACCGAGGUCCCCGGUGGAGAAGUUCCUGGCGAUUGUUUCCGCAAGGGCCCUUCGGUUUCCUGGUCUCCAUGGCAACCCCGGAGUCCCGUCGAACGCUCUCAACAAUGGGGCGCCCCGAGGACAAUCGCGCACUUGCUCUGCGAGCUCUGUGUCCUGCAGGGCGCUUCCGCCCGUCGCUCUUGGCUUUCCGGAGCCACUUAGGUAGAUUCAACACGAAAGGGAUUGAAAAACUACCCCCCCCCUUUUUUUUUAAACGGAGGAGAAAAAUCGAGAUUUAGUAGAAUCUCUGCUGGCUAGGGUCGUGUCCUGAGCAAAAGCCCCAACUUGGAGUUCAGAGCGAUGACCUCGGAGACGCGAGCGCGGGCGGCGGGCAGGAUGGUUUCAUCGAAGCCCGCACCUCGAGCAUCUCCACCGGGAACCUGGGACUCUAGGAGUCUCGGAAUCUCUCCACAUCUGCUGCCCGUCUCAUCCGCACCCGACGCUCCCCGCAUCCAACCAAGCGACCCCUUCGCUUGCCUGGAAUAACUUCUCCUAAAUGGAAGGAGAGAAGUCGGGAACUAGAAAUAGUGGCAUUAAGGUCUGCAAGGUCUUUAUGAGGGAAAGAAUACAUUAUACGUUUCCUUUUAGAGAAAACAUUUUCCAUUGUGGAUGUAAUAUAAAUAACAUUAAAAUAAUAUUUGGG